UCUUGACGUAGUUCUGUCGUCCACGGCCUCUCGGGACCCUACGUGAAUUCCCCGAUCAAGCUGGAGACGACAGUGAUAGGCCAAAGUUACUGGGUCCCGCCAUGAAGUAUACCGAAUUUCCUGUAGCAACCCAUCCCACGAAGUCCAUAUAACCAUAAACCCUUCCCUCCGCAUCACUUUGUUGUUCGGUGGGAGGAAGCCACGCCGCCUCUUUCGAUCUCUUCUUUCCCAUAUCAUCGACCGCAACUUCUUCUUCUGAAUCUUAGAAGAUAUAACAUGAAGGGAGAACAGGACGGUCUUCCAAAAUUUCCUGCUCGAAAGAUGAAGUUCACCCCUAAGAUACCUCCUCGGAAGGCACCAAAGCCUCUCACAACUAAAACGGAAAAACCUGAAACCAAGGAUGAUGUUGUUGAUAAGGAACUGCUCUCAAAGCUUAACCAUGCGAAGGCUAACGAUGGUCUCAUGAGGAGAUUUCCUAAGAGUGAUAGAAAAGUUGGUCCGUCAGAAGUAGCAUUUGGCCAUGGAAGUUCCUCGUUAGCAAGGUCAUUUCCCAAGGGUCGUGGUACAGGAAUCCAAGAUUCAGAUGGCCUUGAUGUACAGAAAUUUGAGAAAGAAUAUGUCGAGCCUUGGGAUUAUGAUCAUUCAUACUAUCCUUGCACACUUCCCCUAAGAAGGCCCUACUCUGGGAACCCAGAAAUUCUUGAUGAAGAGGAAUUUGGGGAGGCUUCAGCAAGCUUGGGUAUGGAUGAAACUAAAAUUGAUUCAGCCGGGGAACUUGGUCUGAUGGAGAAGAGGGAAGAAACACAAAUGCUCUUCUUUCAGUUUCCUGCAAACCUUCCACUGCCAAAGCAACCUGCUGCAACCACAAACACUAAAGAUGCUGCAGGCAAGAUAGACCGUGCAUUGAAGAAGGGCUGCAAAUUGGAGGAGCUGCCACCGGGGUUUAUGGGUAAACUAUUGGUCUACAAGAGUGGGAAAGUCAAGAUGAAGCUAGGAGAUACACUGUUUGAUGUUUCUCAUGGUUUAUGCGGUUCAUUCGCUCAAGAUGUCGUAGCUAUUAAUACUAAAGACAAGCGCUGUUGUGUACUCGGGGAGAUCGACAGGCGUGCGGUGGUGACCCCGGAUAUCGAUGCUCUGUUGGACUCCAUCAAUGAUCUUGAUUGAUGUUUAACUUUCUAACCCCAAACUUUGAUCAAUUAUGAAUCAACUCCUUCGUAAUCUCAGAGAUAUUGGAAGGCAGAAUGACAGAAAACAAUAGAGACAAUUUAUAUGCUCGCUUGCACUUUGGAGAAAGCUGCAC
Musa acuminata subsp. malaccensis (wild Malaysian banana) is the source of this 1300-nucleotide non-coding RNA. The record is from RefSeq and is a predicted model, not a curated record. Lineage: Eukaryota; Viridiplantae; Streptophyta; Magnoliopsida; Zingiberales; Musaceae.